Molecule: non-coding RNA, 116 nt
Organism: Triticum aestivum (bread wheat)
Lineage: Eukaryota; Viridiplantae; Streptophyta; Magnoliopsida; Poales; Poaceae
Source: Rfam
UAGGUGCUCCCUCCGUCCCAAAUUACUUGUCACAUAAAUGAAUGUAUUUAAAUGUAUAUUUAAUUCUAGAUACAUCCAUUUGCAUGACAAGUGAUUCAGGGCGGAGGGAGUACCAU